UGAGGUAGUAGGUUUUGUAGUUCUGCGGGCAGAGAUUUUGCCCAGCGAGUGGAGAUGAACUAUAUAAUCUACUGCCUUGC
This 80-nucleotide microRNA precursor is filed under the name Petromyzon marinus (sea lamprey). RNAcentral's name for it is "Pma-Let-7-P2o14_pre stem-loop". The record is from RNAcentral. Lineage: Eukaryota; Metazoa; Chordata; Hyperoartia; Petromyzontiformes; Petromyzontidae.